RNAcentral lists this transfer RNA (72 nucleotides) under Thermoplasmata archaeon. Its description in RNAcentral is "tRNA-Gly". It matches the Rfam family "tRNA". From Rfam's summary of the family: Transfer RNA (tRNA) molecules are approximately 80 nucleotides in length. Their secondary structure includes four short double-helical elements and three loops (D, anti-codon, and T loops). Further hydrogen bonds mediate the characteristic L-shaped molecular structure. tRNAs have two regions of fundamental functional importance: the anti-codon, which is responsible for specific mRNA codon recognition, and the 3' end, to which the tRNAs corresponding amino acid is attached (by aminoacyl-tRNA synthetases). tRNAs cope with the degeneracy of the genetic code in two manners: having more than one tRNA (with a specific anti-codon) for a particular amino acid; and 'wobble' base-pairing, i.e. permitting non-standard base-pairing at the 3rd anti-codon position. Lineage: Archaea; Methanobacteriati; Thermoplasmatota; Thermoplasmata. RNAcentral also lists the same sequence under 1 other name. The record is from RNAcentral.
GCGGGUGAGGUGUCAACGGCAGCACGCGACGUUGCCAACGUCGAGGACGGGGUUCGACUCCCCGUACCCGCA